GGCAAAGUUAAUAAGGGCGCACGGUGGAUGCCUUGGCACUAAGAGCCGAUGAAGGACGUGACUAACGACGAUAUUCUAGGG
Molecule: ribosomal RNA, 81 nt
Filed under: Lactococcus lactis
Lineage: Bacteria; Bacillati; Bacillota; Bacilli; Lactobacillales; Streptococcaceae
Description: partial 23S ribosomal RNA
Rfam family: Bacterial large subunit ribosomal RNA
Source: RNAcentral